This 25-nucleotide unclassified non-coding RNA is filed under the name Mus musculus (house mouse). RNAcentral describes it as "oocyte_clustered_small_RNA303". The record is from RNAcentral. Lineage: Eukaryota; Metazoa; Chordata; Mammalia; Rodentia; Muridae.
UCACAUUCUGAGGCAGUGGCCUAUG